Molecule: ribosomal RNA, 312 nt
Filed under: Triticum aestivum (bread wheat)
Lineage: Eukaryota; Viridiplantae; Streptophyta; Magnoliopsida; Poales; Poaceae
Description: partial small subunit ribosomal RNA
Source: RNAcentral
AUGAACAAAAUUCAACAAUUUCGCCCGAUAUGUUUACUUUGUUGCAUCUAUAAGCUGAUUACCAAAGUGCUUACUAUUAGAAUGGAACCUUUUGUUGAUAUCCUAUUCAGUCGACACCAGAAUGCUUUUAUCAAAAAGCACGAUAUCAUGGAUGGGAUUAUGUCCCUGCAUGAAAUCCUCAACCAUACUUAUGCUAGGAAAAAAUCUGGUAUUGUUCUCAAACUAGACUUUGAGAAGGCGUACGGACAAAGUAAACAGGGAAUUAUUGCUGGAUUGCCACAAAAUGAGAGAGUUUCAUCCGCAAUGGAUUGA